This 494-nucleotide ribosomal RNA is filed under the name uncultured bacterium. RNAcentral's name for it is "partial 16S ribosomal RNA". It matches the Rfam family "Bacterial small subunit ribosomal RNA", at positions 28 to 507 of the family's 1533-position model. The record is from RNAcentral.
GACGAACGCUGGCGGCGUGCAUAACACAUGCAAGUCGAACGGAAAGGCCUGCUUUCCCUUGUGGAUUGCGGGUGCUCGAGUGGCGAACGGGUGAGUAACACGUGAGUGAUCUGCCCCCAACUUGGGUAUAAGCCUGGGAAACUGGGUCUAAUUCCCGAUAGGACUGCAGGGUGGUGCCUGUGGUGGAAAACGAUUUUCUAGUGGUUGGGGAUGAGCUCGCGGCCUAUCAGCUUGUUGGUGGGGUAAUGGCCUACCAAGGCGGCGACGGGUAGCCGGCCUGAGAGGGUGGACGGCCACAUUGGGACUGAGAUACGGCCCAGACUCCUACGGGAGGCAGCAGUGGGGAAUAUUGCACAAUGGGCGGAAGCCUGAUGCAGCGACGCCGCGUGGGGGAUGACGGCCUUCGGGUUGUAAACUCCUUUCGACCGCGAGGAAGCCACCUGGUUGGAAGGGUGGUGACGGUAGUGGUAGAAGAAGCACCGGCUAACUACGUG